Long non-coding RNA from Mus musculus (house mouse), 742 nucleotides. RefSeq annotates it as predicted gene, 31095. NCBI's taxonomy places the organism in Eukaryota, Metazoa, Chordata, Mammalia, Rodentia, Muridae. The transcript has 2 exons. The record is from RefSeq and is a predicted model, not a curated record.
GCUGUGGGAGGGAGCAAGGCUGUGGGAGGGGGCGCUGGGCCAACCUGAAGCUUGCGAUGGCCUUACAGAAGCACCAGCAGCCCUGGGCUGUCCCUGGAAAUCUCCUGGGUUCUGAGCAAUCUGAACUCUGUCUCCUAUUUGUUUUCAAUCAUGGUCUUCACACAUGACCAGAUAUGAGAUGCAGAGAAACCUUUCGAUGAAGAAGCUGCGAAGAUACGAAGCUUCAGUUGGCAAGGAAUGGAAACAGCCAUCAGUCUCUGUGAAUGCACACAUUUUAAAGCAUCUCUAGAGAGGGGGGUGUUUUCUGUGCUGUGUUGUGAAGCCCCCCCCCAUACCCAUUUAUGGGUGUCAGUAUUGUUUUCCCACUGACAAGGCAAAGACACUGUGGCUGUUUUACAGUUGGAAAAGUUGAAGGGAGGCCACAUUAGUCCAGAGAGAAUUCCUUAUCUGGAGAGAUGUGUAAGCUUCCCAUGAGAAGUUUCCUUUCAGUGUUAAAAUAAUCCUGCAACUAACAGCUAAUUUAUUAAGUACACAGCCAAACAACACAGUUUGAAGAUGAGUCAGAGGCCUCUGUCACUUCUGAAAUUUUGGUAUUAAAGGAUUGAAAGUGUAUAAAACUAUCUCUGGAGAACUGGGAGAGAAGCUAUCAUGGAAAGUAAACUAUGUUCCUUCCAGGGCACUUGUGUGAUAGAAAUCUAAUCUCUUAUUUAUAUUUAUCUAAAUGAAACUAUUCUAACUUUAA